AGUGGAUGAGAAGUACAACUUUCCUCUCUGGGUCUCACUGGUAGAUUGCUGUAGAAAGUGAAGCACUGAUGCCCAUCAUCUCCUAGUCGGGGUAUUAAGGAUUCACCUUGAACUAACGUCUGUGCCGAUCUUCCUCUAUGUUAUAUGUGGGUUGCCACCACAGCAUGGCUGAUGAGUGGCAUAGGUCUGCACUUGGCAUCAAAACCCAUGAACCUGGGCUGCAGAAGUGGAAUGCACGGAAUUUAACCACUAUGCCACCGGGCUGGCCCUGAGAAUUCCGUUUCUUCAUCUUUAAAACAGGGUGAUCUUUUACUCUGUGUAGAUCUAUUUUAGAUGUUAUUGAAAUAGGAUAACUAAGAGACUGGAAACAUGAUAGGCUCUCAAUAAAUGCUAUUGCCCUUCCCCUGUUGUUGUUUUUUAAAACUUUUAUUUAUUUAUUCAUUUAUUUAUUUAUAAUGGACUUUAUUUUUUAGAGCAGUUUUAAGUUCACAGAAAAAUUGAGAGGAAGGUACAGAGAUUCUUUUGUUGUUUAAAGAGAUUUGAGGUUGCUCAUAUUUCUAUUAAAAGUCCAUUGCUAAACUUUCAUCUAUGUAUUUGGAUGAAAACUAUUAAAUGUUUCAAACCAUUCAAAUCACCUAUUA
Molecule: long non-coding RNA, 641 nt
Filed under: Equus caballus (horse)
Lineage: Eukaryota; Metazoa; Chordata; Mammalia; Perissodactyla; Equidae
Description: lncRNA (ENSECAG00000043397.2)
Source: RNAcentral